Molecule: long non-coding RNA, 2551 nt
Organism: Aethalodelphis obliquidens (Pacific white-sided dolphin)
Lineage: Eukaryota; Metazoa; Chordata; Mammalia; Artiodactyla; Delphinidae
Exons: 2
Source: RefSeq, a predicted model, not a curated record
GAGGUCGCCGCCCAGAGGUGGGGGAGGGGGCCACGCCGCUGGGGCUAUUGGAGGUGGGACAGCGCCUGGGCAGGGACGCCCCGGAGACGCCGAGGUGCUGGGUGGACCUUGGCGGACGGAUCCCAUGCCCGUGUCCUCCCAUGGCUAAGUCCCGCUUUCAUGCUGCCAGCCGCCGCCCUUACUGGGUUUUCCUUCGGGGGGCCGGACAGGGGGCAGACGGUACUGGCCGAGAAAGGUGUUGGGGUCGCUUCUGGAGUGGGACUCGGGAGAAGACUUGUCGAACCUCCCCGAGCUGCCGCGUUUAGAGCAAAAGUUGGCGCUUUUGCUCUUCUCCAGCGCUCUCCUCGCUCAGCCGAAGGACCUAAGUUUGUGUUGACCGCCCCUCCCCUAAAGUCUCGGGAGGGCUUAGGUGUCCGUGGCGACGCGCUGACCACCCUCGGGGACUCCACGCUCCAAACAGACUCGGUGUAAACUGUUGUGCGGCUCCGAGCCAAAACCUGAAAGUGAUAGCUGAGCUCUCCCCACCCCCGCGCGCUUUCCCAGUUGGACUCUGCUGUUCGGUGGUUUCGACCGCUUUAAGGAGGUGUAGGGUUUCACGUUCCCAUUCCCACCCCUGUGAAACACACUUGGCAUUUACUGUUACUUAGUUAAGCUUUCUAAAAACAACCUUCGAUACUUGGGGGAACGGUAGUCCAGUUCUUUUCGUUUUGCGUAAAGUGGAUUUGUGAGGAUUCUGGGUCACGCCUGAGCUAAAAGUGGACGGAUUUAGUAGGGGUCUUUUUUCUUCCUUCCUCUGCAAUCUUUUCAUUACUCUUUAUUCUUUUUCUUUUUUUUUUUUUAAUUUGAAGAUAAGACAACAUCACUAAAAUUUUUUUCUUUGCAAUUUUGUUACUUUUUGCUAGGUAUUUGUUGAUGUCAUUUGGUUUUGACUUAAAAUCAAUAAAAGAAAAUGAAAUUUCGCUACACCUAACAGUUCUGGUUUGUGAGUUAUUUGAGAGAAGUUAGCAGGCAUUUUUUUCCCCUUGCUCCUGUUUUUUAGUGUCCCAAGUGACACGAAUACAUUGUCCUUGUAAAAACUUAAUAAGAAUGAAGCACAAAUCCUUGUGAUUUCUCCCAUUCCAGUUUCACACACACACUCUUUGAGAGGUAACAGUGUUCUCUGUUUCCUGAGUAUUCUUCCAGACCUUUUUCUUUGAAUUCUUACAAGCACAUGUGUACAUAUAGAAAUGCUGUAGGAGUGUGUGUGUGACCUGAAUAUAUGGCGUCAUACUGUAAACAACUGUUUUGCAACUUGUUUUUUUUUUUUUACAUAACAUCUUGGAGAUCUUUGCAUGGCAGUAAAAAUAGAUCUAUACAGUCUUUUAAACUAUUGCAGAGUAUUUAACAGUAUGAAGGUAUCAUCGUCGACUCAGCCUUUCUUCUUUUUUGGGACGUUUGCUGUUACUAACAGCACUACAGUGAACCUCCUUGCACAUGCUUUUUGUGCAUUUGUUCUAGGAUAAGUACCUGGAGUGGUGAUUAAUCAUUUUAAAAUUUAAUAUCAAUAGAGAGUGCUUUUUAAACCAUUAACCUAAAAGAUGUGCAAUAUUUCUUUUAAUACGUGCUGAGAAAGAACUUAACUUUAGCUUAAUAAAAAAAACUUGUGUUCUACACCAAUGAAUUUAUAUGUGGUCCUUUAUCUCUAUUAGUUGGAGCAUUUAAAUAAGUAGUACUUAUAUGCAGGUUUAUGUAUUAAUGUUUUCUGCUGGUUCAGUUACUUCAGCUGUAUCUAUGAUAGAGUCAAUUAAAAUAUAAAACCAUACAUUUUCUUUUUCCCUUCCUCUUCUAGCUCCAUAAUGGGAGUGGAGUUCGUGUGUUGGGUGGAGGAGAAUUGAAGAGUAAGAGUCCACUGUCUUUAGUAGAAAGUCGAAAUUAUAGAUUUUCAAAUAUAUGUAUAUUCAUGCAGGAAAUUCCAUAUCUUACAUAAUAUUUUAAAUGUGGUAGUAAUAUAUACUUUAUAAUUAGCACAUCCUUUAAAAGUGUUUUUUUUAAAAUAUUCAAAAAUAGCUUGAGUAAUUUCUUAGCCUUAGGAGACUUUCUUUACACCUUUAGUUUAUCCAUCUCUUUCACACUCCAGUGCUAAUCUUGGCUUAGCAGGAAACAGUAAAGUCCACAUUGGUAUUGCCUGAAUUAAUGAGAUUUAAAAAAAAUGAUAUUUUGAAGUACUCUUAUAAAGUCUUCUUUUUAAGAAGUCCAAGUGUUUUAAAAGAGUUUGUUACACUUUAAUUAUCAGUUCUCCUGGUUAUCUGGCAAGAUGUCUUGGAAGCCAAAGAAGAUUAUGUCAAGGAGACAGCAUUUACCUAUGACAGCUAAUGAUACUAUGAGGUUAUGAAAAAUGUGCCUUGAAAGAGACCAUUGAAUUUACUGAUACCCCACGAUUUCUGAGAACAAAACCAAUGAAUAGGAGGGGGCAAAACAGACAGUUCAGGAAAAGGAAGACCUGACAAUGAGCUAGAGAUGGCAGCGUUUGUAGUUGACUAGGAAGUUUGGCCUUAAAAAGAAGUUGCUCAAA